Molecule: ribosomal RNA, 253 nt
Filed under: uncultured bacterium
Lineage: Bacteria
Description: partial 16S ribosomal RNA
Rfam family: Bacterial small subunit ribosomal RNA
Source: RNAcentral
UACGGGGGGGGCAAGCGUUGUUCGGAAUUACUGGGCGUAAAGGGUCUGUAGGUGGUCUGCUAAGUCAGACGUGAAAUCCCUCAGCUUAACUGGGGAACUGCGUCUGAGACUGAUGGACUUGAGGACAGGAGAGGAACGCGGAAUUCCAGGUGUAGCGGUGAAAUGCGUAGAUAUCUGGAGGAACACCGGUGGCGAAGGCGGCGUUCUGGACUGUUUCUGACACUGAAAGACGAAAGCCAGGGGAGCAAACGGG